CAAUGAAAAGAAAUUAGCUCGCAGUUUAUUGAAGAUCUCAUUGGAAAUGUUUCAGGAAAAUCCUGACAUUCUCUAAAUCUGACUUCUCUGAAAUAUGCCACGUAGCCACAACAGAAUCGGAAAUGGGUUCCACGUGGAUGCACUUACUUCCAUUGGGACGUGUCACAUGCACCACCUGGGUGAAUGGUUCUCGCACAUGCAUGUCUUGACUUGAAGACCAAGUCCUUCUGGGCAGGAUAUUAAACUGAUAGUCAUGGGACAAAUGCUAGACUCACGAGAAGGGACCAAAAAGGAAUCAUGGUCUCGCAACAUUUCAAGAUCUUACUGUGAAGGAAGUAAGUGUUCCAGUGAAGUUUUGGACUUUUAAGAUCAAAGUGCAAGCUACCCCUUGUGUAAACAAUUUUGUGUGUGCCUGUGAG
Non-coding RNA from Chiloscyllium plagiosum (whitespotted bambooshark), 419 nucleotides. NCBI's taxonomy places the organism in Eukaryota, Metazoa, Chordata, Chondrichthyes, Orectolobiformes, Hemiscylliidae. The record is from RefSeq and is a predicted model, not a curated record.